This 497-nucleotide ribosomal RNA is filed under the name uncultured bacterium. RNAcentral's name for it is "partial 16S ribosomal RNA". It matches the Rfam family "Bacterial small subunit ribosomal RNA", at positions 28 to 506 of the family's 1533-position model. The record is from RNAcentral.
GACGAACGCUGGCGGCGUGCCUAAUACAUGCAAGUCGAGCGGACGAAUCGAAAGCUUGCUUUUGAUUCGUUAGCGGCGGACGGGUGAGUAACACGUGGGCAACCUGCCCUGUAGACGGGGAUAACACCGAGAAAUCGGUGCUAAUACCGGAUAACACGAAAUGUCGCAUGACGUUUCGUUGAAAGACGGCGCAAGCUGUCGCUACAGGAUGGGCCCGCGGCGCAUUAGCUAGUUGGUGAGGUAACGGCUCACCAAGGCGACGAUGCGUAGCCGACCUGAGAGGGGGGUCGGCCACACGGGGACUGAGACACGGCCCAGACCCCAAGGGGGGGAAGCAUGAGGAAAUCUUCCGAAAGGGAGGAAAGUUGGCCGGGCAAACCCCGCGGGAGCGAAAAAGGCCUGCGGGUCGUAAAGCUCUGUUGUUAGGAAAAAAAAAGUAACGCAGAAACGGGCUUUACCGGGGCGGAACCUAACGAAAAAGCCACGGUAAACUCCGG